UACCUGUUAGUUUUCUACGCUAAGUACACAAGUCUCAUAAGACGAGAAAAAUAAUUAUAAAAAAAUAAAUUUCGGAAAUUCGACGAGGUGAGCAUUGCGAUCAGUAACAACGAAGCAUCGCACCAGAAAUAGAUUUCACGAAGCCUCGAGUACAUAAAUAAGCUGGUGUGCAUCAUUUAGUCCUGAAAACACGCAGAGCUGUCCGAUGCGAUCUUCAUCACCGAGGAAUGCACACUUCGGCUCUCGUUUUCGUGAAAGGAAGAAGAAAAGAUCGAUCACUGAAAAUCCGCUGCAUAGCUAAGUGGCGGGCGCAUAGCGAAGACGUCGCGGUUGGCCGGCGCUCGCGAGGACGAAGACGCCGUGCCGGGGGUAAAGCAACGAAGAAAAAAGGAUAAUUGUCGGGGGAUGCUGGGCGCUGCCUCCGCAGCUGGGUGCACGUGCCACGCUCCACCUGCUCUCGAGUGCGCACGAGUCCUAAUCUUUCGCCGGAGAUGCGAGCUUCUUUGGCGUGCGCGCGAGCAGGGUGGAGAACUCCUCUCUCGAUGCCGUCCACAGAUAAAAACCCAGUGCCAAGUUCUCCCCCAGGAACUGAUCGCGCUUCCAAAUACAUUUUUUCUCUUUGCUUUUUUAUUUUUUCAUUUUUUUCUUUCUUGUUGCUCUUUUCGAUCGAGUGCAUCUGCCAUGCAUAUGUUGAUUCGUCGCACUCGUUUCUUUCCGAAAAUCAGAAGAAACCAACUUCUACUACGUAGGAAUGAGAAAGUGAAAGUGAUCUCUCUGCCAUUGGACAUUUCCCUCUCGAUACGUGCUACUGCUACGUCUCGGCCAUCUCCCCCUCUCUCUCUCUCUCUCUCUCUCUCUCUCUCUCUCUCUCUCUCUCUCUCUCUCUCCCCCUUUCUCUUUCUCUGCUUUUCGGACGAUCGGUAUCUUCUUUAGCUCAGCUGUCGCGCUUCAUUAACGAGCGUGCGCGUGUACGACUGGGCUUUUCUCUUCCGUACGAUCGUAAAAAUAAUUUACGCCUACGUCGAAGUAGCGCGUGUCUCUCUUUUAUUUCGUGCCGGAAGAGAAAAAAACGACGUGCUCUCGUCUUUUUUCGGAUAAACCGUCCGUGCAGUCGCGACUGGUUUGCAAGAGGCGCCCACGAACGACAAGUCAACACGCAUAUUUUCCGCGAAAGAAUAGGAGAACGCGGGCACGGCGGACACACGUGCCGCGCUGAGAAAGCUCCUCGCUCAUCCCACCGUCUGUCCGCUCUCGAGGGCCUCUGGCGAAAGGGCAUCUGCGCGCGAAAGCGUGUUGGCCGGCGUAACAGCUGCGUUUUUUUCCUUUUUUUCGUGAGCCAAAAAACGAGCGGGCAAACGGUCUAAUCAACGAUGAAUGGGCGCCGUUAAUUUGAUAAUCAAACGAGAGCGGCUCCGCUUCUGCUCGACGAGAGACGCGCACGCACGCGCGCGCGCGCACAUAUAUAUAGGGAGAAACGAGGAAAGACGCUGCAGUUCCCAUCGAGUUUUCGCUCGACAAAAACGUCUCAAUAUCGCGUCGACGCAACGAGGGACAAAAAAGGAUUAAGGAUUACGAUCGCUAUCGAGUCGGAGCAAAUUUCAACGCGCGCGCGCGCGAGCGCAGGGAGAAGAAAGGGGAAGCGAUCGAUAUUUUCUUCUCAUCUUCUUUUUCCUUGGCCUGCCUCGCGAGAUUUCAAUCUACGCACUCUGUAUACGCGCGCAGCUCGGUCCAGCGGGCGUCAACAAUGCGCAAUCCUUUCGUUGGCCGGGGGGCCGAAGCCUCUUUAGCCGGCACGUCGAGGGUGGCUGCAGGCGCGGACAGGUACGGCCGGAGCAGCGACGCUUUUCCACGGGCUCGCUCAUGCGAGUGAUCGCUCGAGAAUUCCGAGGAAAAACUGCUCGCCGCCGGCCGGGAGAAAGAGUACAUGGGAAUUCUCUUUUUCAUUUCGCACGCGCUGCAUUAAAAGGUCCUUUAAGGCCAGACACAUAAAAAGAGAAAAAGAGAGAGAGAGAGGGAGGGCGCAUUGAAUUUCUUGAGAUGAAGUUUACCUUUCGCCUCGUGUUUGUGUACCUUUCAGAUUGAUUCGGUAAAGAGAAUUUCAUUCGAGGCAAAUUACUCGUUGGCGGAUAUAGAACUCGCUCGGCAGCAUUAGUAAUUCACGAUCGUCGUUCGUUUAACGGUCGACACGGAAGAACAUUAAUCACGUACGCUUUUUAAAAUCGUAGCUCCCACGAGAGCAUAUGGGAAAUAUGUUAAUCACGUGUGAAAAGCUCCGACAGCUCGGGUAAGCAGACCGAACCCUUUUGGACGGUGAACGAAAGCAUCAAUCCUUUUUUCUUUCUCCAAAGACCUUCUUAAUUUUCAUCGGCCGUCAUGUGGGAUGCCCCCUCGACGCUGUAGACGCAAGAAAAAAAACCGAGAAAAAAAGAGCAGACGGCACCGCUCUCUCUCUCUCUCUCUCUCUUUCUCUCUCUCUCUCACUCUCACUCUCUCUCUCUCUUUCUGAUGUCUUGGAAGGGUUACAUUGAUUCAAUACGACACCGAAUAUGUCUUUGUGUUUGUUUUUUUUCCCUCUUUCUAAAUUAUAGGGAUGUGGCGUGAAAAUGAUAUGUGAUUAAAUUCUAUUGAUAUGGUAAACAAGAUGUGUAUGCAAAGUGGCAUUAAUUUAACUAUCUUUCGUGAAACAUAUUUUGGUAGAAAAAAGCAAGACGCUACGUAUUGAAAUAUAAAUCGACAGUGUUUGGAUCAAUCGAUCGACGAAUGAAUCAUUAUCCAAAGUGGAAGGUAAAGUAGCAGCAGCAGCAGCAGCAGAAGUAGUAGUAGUAGCAGCAGCAGCAGAGAAAAUUCAUCAAAGGAACUGUUUUAGACCUCCGGGAAAUCCAACUUAUUCGGGCGUAUACAACGCGUCGAUACGGUUAAUAAAAAAAAACCAUUAGCCGGGUCUUUAUAAGAUAUUAGACGCGGCACGCUCUCGCUCGCGUUGGAAAACCCAUAGUAUUAAUCAAGCGCCACCUUUCGAGCGCGAGUGCGGCGACUAGCCACGUGAUAGAUGAGGACCUCGUGGCAGCGCCAUGUGGUCUUCUUCUUUAGACUCUCGAAAAUAACCCUAAUUUCGGGCAAUAUGUCGACGAGUACCAAAACAGGUUUGCGGAAGAAAAAAAAAACGUAACAAUCUCGAGGCGAGUUCUGAGACUUCGAAUUGCGAUGGUUCGACUCGUCGAGUGGAAAGUUACGUUUAAUUACGCAAGCCCGGCGCACGUAACAUAAUCAUAACCAAUUCCCCCAAGACGCGCGGCAGCCGUUCAACGCGCGCAAGCAACAAAAACGGGGCGUCCCUUUGGCGGUAACAUCGCGAGCGUGUCAUUUGCAUGCGUAAUGCUCCUCCUUCAAUCGCUCUCUCUCUCUCUCUCUCUCUCUCUCUCUCUCUCUCUCUCUCUCUCUCUCUCUCUCUCUCUCUCUCUCUCUCUCUCUCUCUCUCUAUUUAUUCCACUCUUCUUUCCUCCCACGCGACCGGUACGCUCGCCACGACGUAAUUGCAGUGUAACGUAUGUAUCGAACGCGCGCGGCUUUAUACUUUUCCGAUCGCCGAGCUCUAUACACCCCCGGUUUGUCGAUCUGUUAUGCCCGCUCAGACCGGCGAUAGCCUUUACGACGGCGUUUUUUCUUGUACGCUUCGGACUAACGUCUCUGUUUCGUCGGCGGACGAACGGACGUUUCGUUCGUCCCGACCUCGCGAUGAUUUUGUUGUCGGACGCGGUGGCAUUAUCGAGGGCUCCGCGAGAUGCUUGGUGAAAAAUCGAGAACACCCUGUAAAGAACUUGUUAACGAAUCGUAACUCGCGGCAUUUCUGUGAGAAAGUUUUCUGACCAUGCAAUAGUAUUAUUCAGUUUUACUCGACGUGUAUUGCCUUUACUUUAUUGCAGAAGGCUCGCGAUAUUUUCCCGUACACUUGUUAAAUCACUAAUAAAAAGCCGCCGCUAUUGCGCGCGAUAAGCCGUUCUCGGUCUUGCACAUUUGCAUUCUCGGGACACGCGCACGCUCGAAGGUAUUGACAAUCGAGCGAUGACAGCAGUUUACGCCGAGUUGGAAAAAUUCAACGAUCCACAAGCUGUCCAUCAUCAUUCUCACAACUUUUAUUUUGCUCUUGCUAAACGGCCGAGGUAAUGACAGUCGCGUGGCGCACGUGUAAACGCGCGUGUGUCGCGCGCGUGUUCUCACUCUUUUGAAGAAUUAGGGGAGUAUCGCACAUGUUGCAGAACGCGGCAGACGCCUAAAUUGCAAGGUCUCCUCGGAGCGUAUCGACGGAUUCAAGGUCUCGCUCCUUUUUUUUUCUCUUCCCCCUUUUUUCUGCUCGCUGCUCUCUUGUGCAGAACGCCAAGGCAAAGGAAGGAGACGAAAGAAAUGAGCAAGUAUCAAUUUGCGUCUUUACAGGCAGCAACAACAGGUGGAAUCCAGUGCGGUUCCGUUCACCCACUUACGCCGCGCGCAUAACGGACUCGGAUGCUUUUGCAAAUUAAAAAAAACAGGAGACGCGUGCAUGCCUCGAUGUAUAAUUUCAAAUACUCUAUAGGAACUAUCCAGCAAGCCGGCAAUUAGACCCACAUAUCAAAGAAAUAAGUGGAAGUUGCUGAUCCAUUCAAAGAUUUUUUUCCAUAGCAUCGCGAGACGAAAGCGUUAAUUAAAAAAGAAGAAGAAGAAGAAAAAGAAGACGAUGUUAGUUAAGUACUAUCAUUCGAAAGACAUGAACAAUUUCUACGAAAAUAUUUUAUUGUAACGUUAUCGCGCGCUGCUCGACGACGUGACAGUUACACGAGGACAAGGCUUUGUUGGAAAUACAUGUACAUUGCCAUAACGAGCGAUCCGUCAAAUUAUUAGGAAACGAGUGCUGCUCAAAUGGCGAAUCACGACGAGCUUUAUCUGCAUUAGUCACGGACGCGAUGACGUCUAUUAUCGCGCUUGUAACCGGAGGUAUAAAUAGUAAGAUAAACUCCGUGAUAGACGAGUAACAGAACAGACGUUCGGAAAUACGCAACUUCGCACACGUGAAUAUCCAGCAAGAUGAAGUUGACCUCGUUAGCCCUGCUUUUCAUUAUCACCGUAGUCGUCCACGAGGUCUUCUCUGAAAAAUCCACUGAUACUCGCUGCGGACCAUUGUAUAGCCGUAAGAGACGAGGAAUAGAGAGCGAGUAUGGGAGCGUGCAAACAUUUUACCGGUACGUUAAAAGUACAAACUGCUGCGUGGCAUACGAAUCAGCGUCGACUAAUAACAUGGGAUUCAAGACUCAAAACGAGUGCGAAACCACUUGCAUGCAAAAUCACACAUGAGUCCUGUGAAACGGUUAUCAUGCAAAAUUGAAAAUGCAUUAAAAAUGUAACUUUAAAAGUCUUAAUAAAAACACUAAUAAACAUGA
This is a long non-coding RNA of Phymastichus coffea, 5411 nucleotides long. RefSeq lists it as uncharacterized. The transcript has 4 exons. Lineage: Eukaryota; Metazoa; Arthropoda; Insecta; Hymenoptera; Eulophidae. The record is from RefSeq and is a predicted model, not a curated record.